Molecule: long non-coding RNA, 417 nt
Filed under: Sinocyclocheilus anshuiensis
Lineage: Eukaryota; Metazoa; Chordata; Actinopteri; Cypriniformes; Cyprinidae
Description: lncRNA (ENSSANG00000009075.1)
Source: RNAcentral
UAAAAAACACGUCCAAACAAAACCCUCAUGGACCAGUGAGGUUAGUGAAAUGGUGGCCCUAAUGACACGUGGGCGAUUGGGGUCACCCUUGAGUGCUUUUGGCAGCAGUGACAGUGAGGAUGUAGCAGAGCAACAGUUCCACCUACAGGACAGAAAUAGUGUGAAUGGCUACCAGGAAUAUGAGACCCAGGAAAGCACUGAUCUGGAGCAACUAUUCAAGAGUUUUGCCGGUAUUCAGAGUGAUAGUGAGGAGAGCACAAAUUACCACACUAUCGAUCACACUUUUGAUGUGACCAAUGGAGUGCUGGAGGUGACAAGCCAAACUGAGGAUGAGGGAAGUUCAGAUGGUUUGGACUAUACACAGACACAGCAAUCUAGCAUGUUCUACACACCCAAACAUCACCUGUCCAACCACAC